Molecule: long non-coding RNA, 1047 nt
Organism: Halichondria panicea
Lineage: Eukaryota; Metazoa; Porifera; Demospongiae; Suberitida; Halichondriidae
Exons: 2
Source: RefSeq, a predicted model, not a curated record
UACUAACUGUUUGCUCAAAGACAGCACAAUGUUUACUAUUAGGAGAACUACAUGACUCUGCUUUCAAGCUCACUUAACAAAAUUCAUUCCCUGAAAUGCAUAUCCCACAUUAGCCUCGAUCCCAGGCCGAGUUUUCGCUUUUAUAACGGUUAGGCGAACAACUGGGCCUGGUACUAGUUGUCUGCGCAUGCGUCAGUCGUUCGUCAGAUUCUGACGAAUGGAUAUUCUCGUUCACUUUUGUGACAUUUAUAUUCGUGUACUAUCGUGUACUAGAAGUCAGUUCCCGUUUUAUCAUUAUUGGAAUCGAUUGGAAUGGCUCUUAGCUGAAGCUUCUCUCUUCUCUGAAGCUUAUUCUGAAGACUGAACAACAAGGGAAGAGGUAUAAAGCUUUUUCAAGCUUGUUAAGGUCAGAUAUUUUUGUGUGGGCCCUAUGGCCGGCUAUGCUAUCAAGUCUUGUUCAUGUUUGGCAAGAAUGUAGGUAGACUAUAGUUUCAUCAUUAAUAUGGUGGAUCAAGUGAAGAGUGUGAGCUAGAGAACUUGGUGCUGCCAUCAUCAGCUCGUCGACAAUGACACUAUAACCGAGAAAUUUAAUAUGUAUAGAUCUACACGUAUUUAAAAUGUCUACUUCUCUGUACAGGAGCAAUGGCUAAUAUCCAGCUAUCCCAACAGUGCUCCUCUUGGCUAUACUAACGGACGAGACUGGACAGUUUGAGACACAGGACUGGAGUAUGACCUGCUCAUUCGAGCGUUGCUGGGUAGCUCAGAGACAUCAAGAGAAUCUACGUUUUCUCAAGCAAUGAGUUACGAGUUGGGGCCUAGAAUCAGAGAAGUCCAGCAGCCUGCUAAAUCUUUUUGAAACGUAAUUUGAAGGCAUUCAAUCAUCCUGAAGUUGCCCUGGGUCACUGUAAUUGUGCUGCAGCACAACUGGCAACUCCCCAGGCCUUUGUGAAGCAGCUCCCUAUGUGCAUCUUUUGUGUACUCACUCUGUGCAUUUUCUGUGUACAAAUUUCGAUUAUUGAUUUAUUAAAUAUUUUUGCCGACCACAAA